This 373-nucleotide ribosomal RNA is filed under the name uncultured organism. Its description in RNAcentral is "partial 16S ribosomal RNA". It matches the Rfam family "Bacterial small subunit ribosomal RNA", at positions 527 to 896 of the family's 1533-position model. The record is from RNAcentral.
GUAGGUGGCAAGCGUUGUCCGGAAUUAUUGGGCGUAAAGCGCGCGCAGGCGGUUCUUUAAGUCUGAUGUGAAAGCCCACGGCUCAACCGUGGAGGGUCAUUGGAAACUGGAGAACUUGAGUACAGAAGAGGAAAGCGGAAUUCCACGUGUAGCGGUGAAAUGCGUAGAGAUGUGGAGGAACACCAGUGGCGAAGGCGGCUUUCUGGUCUGUAACUGACGCUGAGGCGCGAAAGCGUGGGGAGCAAACAGGAUUAGAUACCCUGGUAGUCCACGCCGUAAACGAUGAGUGCUAAGUGUUAGGGGGGUUUCCGCCCCCCUUAGUGCUGCAACUAACGCAUUAAGCACUCCGCCUGGGGAUACGGCCGCAAGGCUG